Molecule: transfer RNA, 89 nt
Filed under: Caudoviricetes sp.
Lineage: Duplodnaviria; Heunggongvirae; Uroviricota; Caudoviricetes
Description: tRNA-Glu
Source: RNAcentral
GCAUGCGUCGUCUAGUGGCCAAGGACACUACACCUUUCGCGUGUAGGACGUGGGUUCGAAUCACCACCGGUGUUGGUUACCUUUGCGCA